Molecule: transfer RNA, 93 nt
Filed under: Methylovirgula sp. 4M-Z18
Lineage: Bacteria; Pseudomonadati; Pseudomonadota; Alphaproteobacteria; Hyphomicrobiales; Beijerinckiaceae
Description: tRNA-Thr
Rfam family: tRNA
About the family: Transfer RNA (tRNA) molecules are approximately 80 nucleotides in length. Their secondary structure includes four short double-helical elements and three loops (D, anti-codon, and T loops).
Source: RNAcentral
GGCCACGUAGCUGAACUGGAGUCCCUGAGAAAGACAAUCAGCACCCGAUUUGUAAUCGGGAGAAUGUGGGUUCGAGUCCCACCGUGGCCACCA